AAACCCUAAAAAUUGAUCAAAAUUUAGGAGGAGAAGUUUUGCUCUUGAUUUGUUCAAGGAGGACACCUUAAAAGGUUAGAACACACUUUUUAAACCUUAUUUCCUCUACUUCUUCACCAUUUGGGGCUCUCUAGAUUUAGAUCUAUGGAGGAGAGAGAAAAUAGUGGUUUGUUAGCUCUAGAUCUGUUAUCAUGUUUGUAAUACUUCUUUUUUAUUGAGCAAUAAGGUUUGUAGGUAUGAAUAGGUUUGAAUGGAUGUACCGGAUGAAGCGAAUGGAACCAUAGUACUUGGUCAUGUGAGGAAGUUUGUUGCAACCACAAAAGCUCAUCGUCAGAGUUUAGAUCGGACAACAACCAUAUGCUUGUGUUCUCGUUGCAAGAACAUGAAAGGCCACGC
RNAcentral lists this long non-coding RNA (396 nucleotides) under Sorghum bicolor (sorghum). RNAcentral describes it as "long non-coding RNA (SBIC_LNC014776)". Lineage: Eukaryota; Viridiplantae; Streptophyta; Magnoliopsida; Poales; Poaceae. The record is from RNAcentral.